Molecule: ribosomal RNA, 253 nt
Filed under: uncultured bacterium
Lineage: Bacteria
Description: partial 16S ribosomal RNA
Rfam family: Bacterial small subunit ribosomal RNA
Source: RNAcentral
UACAGAGGUCUCAAGCGUUGUUCGGAUUCAUUGGGCGUAAAGGGUGCGUAGGCGGCGCGGUAAGUCGGGUGUGAAAUCUUGGAGCUUAACUCCGAAACUGCAUUCGAUACUGCCGUGCUUGAGGACUGGAGAGGAGACUGGAAUUUACGGUGUAGCGGUGAAAUGCGUAGAUAUCGUAAGGAAGACCAGUGGCGAAGGCGGGUCUCUGGACAGUUCCUGACGCUGAGGCACGAAAGCGUGGGGAGCAAAAGGG